RNAcentral lists this ribosomal RNA (682 nucleotides) under Methylorubrum populi. RNAcentral's name for it is "bacterial SSU rRNA". It matches the Rfam family "Bacterial small subunit ribosomal RNA", at positions 1 to 745 of the family's 1533-position model. Lineage: Bacteria; Pseudomonadati; Pseudomonadota; Alphaproteobacteria; Hyphomicrobiales; Methylobacteriaceae. The record is from RNAcentral.
UAGAGUUUUGAUCCUGGCUCAGAGCGAACGCUGGCGGCAGGCUUAACACAUGCAAGUCGAACGGGCUUCUUCGGAAGUCAGUGGCAGACGGGUGAGUAACACGUGGGAACGUGCCCUUCGGUUCGGAAUAACUCAGGGAAACUUGAGCUAAUACCGGAUACGCCCUUAUGGGGAAAGGUUUACUGCCGAAGGAUCGGCCCGCGUCUGAUUAGCUUGUUGGUGGGGUAACGGCCUACCAAGGCGACGAUCAGUAGCUGGUCUGAGAGGAUGAUCAGCCACACUGGGACUGAGACACGGCCCAGACUCCUACGGGAGGCAGCAGUGGGGAAUAUUGGACAAUGGGCGCAAGCCUGAUCCAGCCAUGCCGCGUGAGUGAUGAAGGCCUUAGGGUUGUAAAGCUCUUUUGUCCGGGACGAUAAUGACGGUACCGGAAGAAUAAGCCCCGGCUAACUUCGUGCCAGCAGCCGCGGUAAUACGAAGGGGGCUAGCGUUGCUCGGAAUCACUGGGCGUAAAGGGCGCGUAGGCGGCCGAUUAAGUCGGGGGUGAAAGCCUGUGGCUCAACCACAGAAUUGCCUUCGAACUGGUUGGCUUGAGACCGGAAGAGGACAGCGGAGAGGUAGAGAAUUGUAGAUAUUCGCAAGAACACCAGUGCGAAGGCGGCUGCCCGACGAGGCGGAAAGA